This 497-nucleotide ribosomal RNA is filed under the name uncultured bacterium. Its description in RNAcentral is "partial 16S ribosomal RNA". It matches the Rfam family "Bacterial small subunit ribosomal RNA", at positions 28 to 507 of the family's 1533-position model. The record is from RNAcentral.
GAUGAACGCUGGCGGCGUGCCUAAUACAUGCAAGUCGAGCGAACAGACGAGGAGCUUACUCCUCUGACGUUAGCGGCGGACGGGUGAGUAACACGUGGAUAACCUACCUAUAAGACUGGGAUAACUUCGGGAAACCGGAGCUAAUACCGGAUAACAUGUUGAACCGCAUGGUUCAACAGUGGAAGACGGUCUUGCUGUCACUUAUAGAUGGAUCCGCGUCGCAUUAGCUAGUUGGUAAGGUAACGGCUUACCAAGGCAACGAUGCGUAGCCGACCUGAGAGGGUGAUCGGCCACACUGGAACUGAGACACGGUCCAGACUCCUACGGGAGGCAGCAGUAGGGAAUCUUCCGCAAUGGGCGAAAGCCUGACGGAGCAACGCCGCGUGAGUGAAGAAGGUCUUCGGAUCGUAAAACUCUGUUAUUAGGGAAGAACAAAUGUGUAAGUAACUAUGCACGUCUUGACGGUACCUAAUCAGAAAGCCACGGCUAACUACGUG